Molecule: unclassified non-coding RNA, 354 nt
Filed under: fungal sp.
Lineage: Eukaryota; Fungi
Description: partial internal transcribed spacer region
Source: RNAcentral
GUCGUAACAAGGUUUCCGUAGGUGAACCUGCGGAAACGUUAAAACAAGUCGUGAACUCAGCUUGCUCCUGUAGCCCGUGAGAGCAGCAAUCCCUGGUAAAUCAUUGUUGACCCUUUUGAGUCAGGGACCUCUGCAGAUUGUGAUUUUAGAGCGAUUGCAUCUAGUGACCUGGCAUCCCAAGUAAUCAGUGUUCUGAAAGUGUCAUUGAUUGUGUAAGGAUGGCGGAAUCAUGAUCGCUGUAGGCUCACAAGUGAUCGGGUCACCGGGCUCUGCAAACAGUCUAACUUCGCCGCGCGUGAAAUUCGCACGGCACCAAAAACCGAACAACUGUUAACAAUGGAUAUCUUGGUUCUC